This is a long non-coding RNA of Astatotilapia calliptera (eastern happy), 500 nucleotides long. Lineage: Eukaryota; Metazoa; Chordata; Actinopteri; Cichliformes; Cichlidae. The record is from Ensembl.
CACAGACACUCAGGAUCCACCUGCCCAAGCUGCAUGAACCUGUUGUUGAUGUCAGAGAGUCAAACUCUGCUGAAGAGUGGGUUGUUUCCUGUUCAGCCACUGGUCGACCUGCUCCCACUGUAACACUCAGUGUCUCACAGUACAACACUGUCAUGUGUCCAACACCAACGCUACAGUCACUGUCACCACUACAGCUGUGCUCUCAGGUUCACGUAAACACAGCACACAGGUGGGAUGUGCAGCACGAGUGCUCUCUGCUCCUCACAGAGAGGUGAUGGAGACGAUUCCUGAGGUCCAGCAGACGUCAGAUUAUCAGUGAUGGCUACACAACCUUCUUUGCCAUUUGAGUGUGUCCAGUCCAGCUGAAACCAGCUCAUUACUGAUGGCAUGAAAACGAUCUGUGAGUCUGCGUCUUAGUGUGAUGGUUUCUUGUUCCUGUUUUAUUGUGAAGGUCUGCGUCUCAUUCGUGUCCACAGAGGCUUCGCACACGGACUGUGUAG